CAGAGCUCCCAUUGACCACGGGUUGGAACAGCUGGAGACAUGAGCCUUUGUGGUAGAAACCCAGCCCUGCAUGCCCCAAACUCCCCAUCGACCCCUCAUCCUCAAGACUGGCAGCAAGUUCACCGUCCGAACAAGGCUGCUGGUGAGACUCCAGGAAGGCAAUGAGUCACUGACUGUGGAAGUCUCCAUUGACAGGAAUCCUCCUCAAUUACAAGGGUAGGUGCUUGACAAGGACACUGCAAACAUCUGUACAGUGUAUGACCUGCAGAACCACAUUCGGCAGCCCUGGUGGCACAAACAAGGAAGAGGGGGAUUUGGGAUAUGGACAAAGGGAGAUGGCGAGAUCUGAAAUGAAGUGGAACUUCUGUUUUUUUUUUUCUGCUGAGUUUUUAGAAUAAUUCCAUUCCUUGUCUCCAUGUAUCUUCCUCCUGGAACAGCUUCCGGAAGUUCAACAUUCUGACUUCAAACCAGAAAACUUUGACCCCCGAGAAGGGGCAGAGUCAGGGUUUGAUUUGGGACUUUGGUUACCUGACUCUGGUGGAGCAACGUUCAGGUGGUUCAGGAAAGGGCAGCAAUAAGGGGCCACUA
Molecule: long non-coding RNA, 588 nt
Filed under: Homo sapiens (human)
Lineage: Eukaryota; Metazoa; Chordata; Mammalia; Primates; Hominidae
Description: non-protein coding lnc-APOF-1:2
Source: RNAcentral